RNAcentral lists this ribosomal RNA (119 nucleotides) under Gossypium arboreum. Lineage: Eukaryota; Viridiplantae; Streptophyta; Magnoliopsida; Malvales; Malvaceae. The record is from RNAcentral.
GGGUGCGAUCAUGCCAGCACUAAUGCACUGGAUCCCAUCAGAACUCCGCAGUUAAGCGUGCUUUGGCGAGAGUAGCAAUAGGAUGGGUGACCUCUUUGGAUGUCCUCAUGUUGCACACC